Molecule: ribosomal RNA, 444 nt
Filed under: bacterium CPTAC9D
Lineage: Bacteria
Description: partial 16S ribosomal RNA
Rfam family: Bacterial small subunit ribosomal RNA
Source: RNAcentral
CAUGUGAAAACGAAGAACCUUACCCGGGUUUGACAUGGACGGAAAUCCGGCAGAGAUGUCGGGUCCUUCGGGACCGUUCACAGGUGGUGCAUGGCUAUAAUAAAGCUCGUGUCGUGAGAUGUUGGGUUAAGUCCCGCAACGAGCGCAACCCUUGUCCGAUGUUGCCAGCGGGUUAUGCCGGGGACUCAUAGGAGACUGCCGGGGUCAACUCGGAGGAAGGUGGGGAUGACGUCAAGUCAUCAUGCCCCUUAUGUCCAGGGCUUCACCCAUGCUACAAUGGCCGGUACAAAGGGCUGCGAAACCGUGAGGUGGAGCGAAUCCCAAAAAGCCGGUCUCAGUUCGUUUUUUUUGUCUGCAACUCCACCCCGUGAAGUCGGAGUCGCUAGUAAUCGCAUAUUUUUUUUUUCUGCGGUGAAUACGUUCGCGGGUCUUGUACACACGCAA